GCCUUCGUGGUGUAGUGAUCAGCCCUCUCGACGCCUAUUCGAGAGGUCGGUGGUUCGAAUCCCGGUGAGGGCA
This is a non-coding RNA of Stegodyphus mimosarum, 73 nucleotides long. Lineage: Eukaryota; Metazoa; Arthropoda; Arachnida; Araneae; Eresidae. The record is from Rfam.